AGUGAACGCUGGCGGUAGGCCUAACACAUGCAAGUCGAACGGCAGCACAGUAAGAGCUUGCUCUUACGGGUGGCGAGUGGCGGACGGGUGAGGAAUACAUCGGAAUCUACUUUUUCGUGGGGGAUAACGUAGGGAAACUUACGCUAAUACCGCAUACGACCUACGGUUGAAAGCAGGGGAUCUUCGUACCUUGCGCGAUUGAAUGAGCCGAUGUCGGAUUAGCUAGUUGGCGGGGUAAAGGCCCACCAAGGCGACGAUCCGUAGCUGGUCUGAGAGGAUGAUCAGCCACACUGGAACUGAGACACGGUCCAGACUCCUACGGGAGGCAGCAGUGGGGAAUAUUGGACAAUGGGCGCAAGCCUGAUCCAGCCAUACCGCGUGGGUGAAGAAGGCCUUCGGGUUGUAAAGCCCUUUUGUUGGGAAAGAAAAGCAGCAGGUUAAUACCCAGCUGUUCUGACGGUACCCAAAGAAUAAGCACCGGCUAACUUCGUG
Molecule: ribosomal RNA, 492 nt
Filed under: uncultured bacterium
Lineage: Bacteria
Description: partial 16S ribosomal RNA
Rfam family: Bacterial small subunit ribosomal RNA
Source: RNAcentral